Molecule: long non-coding RNA, 2352 nt
Filed under: Marmota monax (woodchuck)
Lineage: Eukaryota; Metazoa; Chordata; Mammalia; Rodentia; Sciuridae
Source: RNAcentral
GUCGCCCUCAGCACAGCCAGGGGUCAGCUGUAGUAGGUCCUGCAUCCGGGCCAGUCCCUGCAGGUGCCCUUGUGGGUCUCAGGGCCCUGGGUCACUGCAGGUGCCCUCCUGGGACACUAAGCCACGGCGUCACCUCAGAGGCACAGUGCCGGGCGGGCCACCCAGCCCCAGGCUCCCCUCACCCGGCACCCCACCCCAGUGACCCCAUCCCUUGCAGGAGCUGCCCACGCUGCGGCAGCUGUGGGCGCGGGGCCAGCAGGUCCUGCUCUCCUACGAGGACGAGGCCUCGGUGCGGCGGCACCCGGAGCUGUGGCCGGGAGUCCCCUACUGGUGGGGCAACAAGGUGAAGUCCGAGGCCCUGAUCCGCUACCUGGAGGACAUGAAGAGCUGCGGCCGCCCGGGUAGGAGGCCGGCCCUCCCGGGCCCACGGAGGGGACGGUCAAGGAGGCGGCCUGGCCGGCGUCCCCUCACGCUCGUGUCCCGCAGGGGGCCUGUUCGUGGCCGGCACCAACCUCACCGAGGACCUGGAGUACGUGCUGGCGCACCCGGCCGGGUCCCUGAAGGAGGUGACCCUGUCCAGCCUGCCCGCGCUCAGCGCCUGGGUCCGCGAGCAGAGCCCGGGGCCCGGCGCCCGCUGCACCAACAUCAUCGCCGGCGACUUCGUGGGCGCCGACAGCUUCGUCGGCGACGUCAUCGGGCUCAACCAGAAGCUGCUGUGGGGCUGACGGUCCCCUCCGGUCAGCCGGGGGCAGCCCGGGGGCAGCCCUAACCCCGGCUGGGCGGGCACUGCUCCAGAUCCCGCGAGAAGACGUCCUCCGAGCUCCAGAUCCCGCGAGAAGACCUCAAUCCAAGGGAUGUGCCUGUGGUCAGGGGUGACCACGGGGUGGGUCCAGCGGGUGUGUCCCGGGCAGUCCCGACCACGGGGUGGGUCCAACGGAAGUGCCCUGGUCAGCCAUGGAUGUGCUCAUGGGCAUGGCCAUCAUGAUGGGUCCAGCAGAUUUGUCUGUGGUCAACGAUGACAACUGGGAUGGGUCCAGCGGGUGUGCCCUGGUCAGCCGCGACCAAGGGAUGGCUCCAACGAAUGUGCUGUGGUCAACCAUGACUGUUGGGAUAGGCCAGUGGGCGCACCCUGGUCAGCCAUGACCAUGGGGAUGUGUCCAGCGGUGUGCCCUGGUCAGCCAUGACCAUGGGGAUGUGUCCAGCGGUGUGCCCUGGUCACCGAGGCCUACUCAACCCAGCGGGAAGCAUGGCCUGUGCAGGGUGGGGAUGCCAGGAGAGGGGUCAGGGCCUCCUCAUCCUGUGCUUUAGAAAGUCCCCGCUUCCAAGAGUGUCGCGUCCCCUGGACGGAUGGGGUGGGGACCUGUGCAGAGACCCUCUUGCAGUACUCAACACAUGGCCUGGCUGUCAGCUCACUCUGACGCCGCCCUUUCCCCGGGCAGCAGGCUCCUGGGGACCCUGGUCCAUCUUGCUUUGGCCAGCUGUUAGUGGAGGGCCUGAGGGGUGGCCAGUGGGCGGUCCUGCAUCUGCAGGCCCCACAGUGUCACGGGUGGUGUGGUCUGUGUUCUAGUCUCUGCAUCCUGGAGCUCGGGCGCCUGGACUUGCAGGCCGGGGUGGGGGGGGGGACUGUCCCCAGAGGUCAGAGGCUCCUGAGACCCCGCCCCUUGCAGGCUGGCUUCUCCAGGGCCAGCGUUUCCUAGACCCUCCUGGUGGGCACCUGCUGCUGGAGGCCCUGGGCACUGAAGGAGCCCAACCCGGGCUGUUUCCCAGCCUCCUGCCCACUGGGCAGGCCCGGGCAAGGCUGGGGGCUCCCUGGGCGCUGGCCCUGCAGGCGCCGGUGACUGGGUCAAUCUGGACCUCCCGCAGCUGCUGUGGCUGGGGUGCCACCUCCCGGUCCCAGGUCCCUUUAAACCCCGCAGGUGGCCGAGAGGCCUGGUCCUGCAGCCUGCCGCAGCCCUGCAGAGCCGGUGUUCCCUGGCCAUCUGGAUGCCCACGACGCGUCACGGCACCCGUUACGGGCAGUCCUGCCGUCAAAGAAGGGCGCAGACCCGGGUGUUCAGGACCGUCUGGAAAUGGCGCCCUGGUCUGCGAAGCCUGUUGCACUUGGGACCCGCAGGGUGGUUUCAGAGGAAGCUGCUCGGGCUUUGUGGUCACCUGUCAUGGCCGUGUCACGGCCGAGACGCGGCACAGCAGGACCAGCUCUGGGCACAUCCCAGCACUGCCUGGCCCCUCCCCGCCACCAAGCACCCUGGGGACAGCCCUUGGAUGCUCAGGUCACAAGGGCGUCAUUUCCUGUCUUAGGAGCCACCAUUCAGGGUUAGUCCACCCUUGAGGACAAUUAAAAGGAACCAAGCC